Molecule: ribosomal RNA, 677 nt
Filed under: uncultured fungus
Lineage: Eukaryota; Fungi
Description: eukaryotic LSU rRNA
Rfam family: 5.8S ribosomal RNA (bases 259-413)
Source: RNAcentral
UUGGUCAUUUAGAGGAAGUAAAAGUCGUAACAAGGUUUCCGUAGGUGAACUGCGGAAGGAUCAUUAACGAGUUAGGGUCUCUUUGGCCCGACCUCCCAACCCUUUGUCUACUUGACCAUCGUUGCUUCGGCGAGCCCGUCCUCACGGACCGCCGGAGGGACCUUCACAGGCCCUCUGGCCCGCGCUCGUCGGUGGCCCAACCUUUAAAAUCUUAACUAAACGUGCCUUAAUCUAAGUACAAUUAUUAAAUUAAAGCAAAACUUUCAACAACGGAUCUCUUGGUUCUGGCAUCGAUGAAGAACGCAGCGAAAUGCGAUAAGUAAUGCGAAUUGCAGAAUUCCAGUGAGUCAUCGAAUCUUUGAACGCACAUUGCGCCCGCCAGUAUUCUGGCGGGCAUGCCUGUCUGAGCGUCAUUUCAACCCUCACGCCCCUAGGGCGUGGUGUUGGGGAUCGGCCAGCGCCCUCGCGGGCGAGGCCGUCCCCUAAAUCUAGUGGCGGACCCGUCGUGGCCUCCCCUGCGAAGUAGUGAUAUUCCGCAUAGGAGAGCGACGAGCCCCUGCCGUUAAACCCCCAACUUUCUCAGGUUGACCUCAGAUCAGGUAGGAAUACCCGCUGAACUUAAGCAUAUCAAUAAGCGGAGGAAAAGAAACCAACAGGGAUUGCCCCAGUAACGGCGA